UGUCAAUGAGAAAAUAUCAUCCAUGGGAUACAAGAGAGAUCAAUAUCAGCUUCCUUAUUUACUUGCAGGUGCUGGUAACACACAUGGGAUCUCCCUAGGAGCCAGUCGAACUCAAGCAUCUGGCUUUUCAGAAAAAUUAUACAGUGCAGCGUGAACUGAGCAAAACCUGGAUCCUGACAUUGUUCUGCUUGGUUGUGAGAUGAAGGCAUAGAGAGUUACCUUACAGUGGUAUAUUGAAGAAUAUGAAGUCAGGAGCAGAACUGGGAGGAAACUCUAGAUCUCUUAAACUCCAGCUCAGCACAAGAGAAAAGAAAAGCUUUACCAUCUGAUGAUAAGGAGCUAUCAAGCUGUUUCCUGCCUUUGAGUGCUAGUCCACAUACGCAUUCAGACGCAACCAGGAAAACAAGAUCCAAAACAAAAAGCAACCUCCAGCAGCUUAAAGUGAAGGGGUGGAAGGAGCUUCCAAAUUUGUAUUUGUUAUUAGAAAGAGAGAUUGAUGUGUUACAAGACACAGUUUUUUAUGACAGAAUCAAUCAACUUAUCAAGCUGUUCUGGAAGAACAAACUCCAGCGUAAAAUUAAAGUACUGUAGAGACAGUUACAUUUUUGUCAUACUUGUGCAACAUUUUCACGUUCAGGAGAUAAACUGGAAAUCAUUCUGUUUUUAACUACAUUUAAGAAAAGAAUAAUAUUAUUAAGGAAAUAGUAUGCAUGUAUGUAUUUAUUCUGUCCCUGUUCUUUGCAUGUUUGUUCUCUUGAACCAUCAGGAGACUGAGGAGAAAAAGUG
This 786-nucleotide long non-coding RNA is filed under the name Apteryx rowi (Okarito brown kiwi). RNAcentral describes it as "lncRNA (ENSARWG00000002157.1)". Lineage: Eukaryota; Metazoa; Chordata; Aves; Apterygiformes; Apterygidae. The record is from RNAcentral.